CUCCCCUCUUGUAUUUAAAAAUACGCGUUUGGUGAUAUAACUCAUUAACUAAAUAUAAUUAAGACCUAUGGUCUUUUGAUUUGAGGUCCUUGGUUUAUGACCUUGAAAUUGAUCUCAAGGUCAUAGCUUAAUUUGACGUUCUAGAUUUUGACCUUUGCUUUUAUUCUAUAUGUAUACAUGAUAAAGAUAUACAACUUUUAGAAAAAGGUAUCAAACCAUUUAACCUUGAAAAAAACCAACCGGAAGUGACCUUUUGUAAACCGGAAGUAGCUAUUUUUUG
This 280-nucleotide long non-coding RNA is filed under the name Mytilus galloprovincialis (Mediterranean mussel). The record is from RNAcentral. Lineage: Eukaryota; Metazoa; Mollusca; Bivalvia; Mytilida; Mytilidae.